AAAAAAAAAAAAAAAUUCAUUUUCUCUUCUCUCCUCUCUCCCGUGAAAUCCCAGAAACCAUAGACAACGAUUUCGAUUUCUCCUGCCGUCGCUCCCUCCGCUUCUCCUCCGGCUUCAUCUCUUCGAUCCUUUCACCUCUCCAUUUCUAUUUCUCCUCUCCUCCGCAGUGGAAGCGACUAAGAAAAUCUCAGAAUAUGUUUCUCAACUUAGGAGACUUGGCAAAGGACAUGGUAACCAUCUGUUUUAUAGAGCAACAGAUUUGAAAACAAAGGAGAUCAAAGACAGGUGGAAGCGACUAAGAAAAUCUCAGAAGAUGUUUCUCAACUUAGGCAACUUGGCAAAGGACAUGGUAACGACCAAGUAUGUUUACAAGAUUGAUGAGACCAAAGAGUUGAGUGGAGGAUGUGUUCAAAUGGAGGCAAAAGCCUUCGAGACAUCUCCUCUUAGUAUCUAAUUAUAACAAUGAGAGAUGUGUAUAUAUAUGGUUUUCAAGAAAAUUUGAAGUUGUGAUAUUCUAGCUAAUUAACAUGAUGAAUAAAACUUUAGUGAUUAUUCUCAUCAAA
Arabidopsis lyrata subsp. lyrata is the source of this 563-nucleotide long non-coding RNA. RefSeq lists it as uncharacterized. Lineage: Eukaryota; Viridiplantae; Streptophyta; Magnoliopsida; Brassicales; Brassicaceae. The record is from RefSeq and is a predicted model, not a curated record. The transcript has 3 exons.